AGCACAAGACAUCCUGACCUUCAAGGGAGGGAGGAACACCUUGAGAGGAGUUGAGAUCCUGCUUUCUCUUCAGAAUGCCAUCUCUAGGAUGCCAAUGGGCUGUGUCUACAGUACUAUGUAGGAAAGUGCUGCAAGAGAGAGCCCAUUUUGCCUAAACAAGAACCACGAUUAUGUAAAGUUCUUUCUGUCACCUCUCUGAAGACCUGGUUCAUAUCUGCAGCUGCAACUCUAUCCCUGAACUCAUCUUUGAAACUACCCAGAGAUAGACUGUCAAGAGCUUCAGAGCUUUACAACAGGAUCUUCCAAGUGCCCUGAGAGGUCAUGAUGGAGCCAAUAGAAAUAAAUCAUACAAAACAAAGCCAGAACCUGGUGGGAGGGAUGCUUACAAAACAACAUAAACGAGAAGUUGUCUGAAAAAAAAUUGUAUGGAAGGAAGAAGAGAUGAGAUAAGGGAAAUGAACUCAUAAUAGCCCCAGUUAAAAUACUUACAGUAAAAUAUCAUUAGUACUACUUGAUGUUGGUGAAAGGCUCUAGACUCAAGUCAGAAGGCCCAAUUUGUUGCUGUGAUUUCUUGAACAAAUUAUGUAAUUGUGUUGAGAUUCAGUUUUCUUUUCUAUCAUUGGGUAUUAAUAACUUCUAUGUGAUGUCAGAGUUAUGAUGUGAAGUUAAAAUAACUAAUAAAUGGGUAAACCCUGAAAAUUUGAUAGAAUUUUGUGAAUGAGAGAAUCUUACAAAUACAGUACCUGAAACCAAAAGAAUUAAGUCUCAGCUUGAGGAAUAUCAGAUACUAGGGCAGGCUAAUGGGAUAAAGGUCUCAUUGAUCUGCCACCUUCAGUCACACUGAAAUGGGGCUAUAUUUUUUUUAUUUACUUACCUACCAGUACUGCCAAUAGUCAAAAUAGUACUACUUUCCAAGUUAUUUAACUUUUUUAGUAUAACAGAAAAAAAAAUCAUUUCUAGUUUUCAAGGCAUGGAUUCAAUGAGUAAUAUAGAUUUAUAUCACUUGGUGAAGACAUGGCAAUUUCCCUGAUACCACUGAAAAAUAAAUUUAAAAAUGC
Molecule: long non-coding RNA, 1058 nt
Organism: Homo sapiens (human)
Lineage: Eukaryota; Metazoa; Chordata; Mammalia; Primates; Hominidae
Product: long intergenic non-protein coding RNA 2552
Source: Ensembl